CCGUGUCUAUGAUAAAUGUGCAUAUUUUAUCACACAUUUCGACAUAUGCUUUGACGAAGUUUGUUAGGGCAGGGUUUACUGAAAGGCAGUCGUUUGUGAGUUGUCCCUCAGCUGGGUUGCCCUUUCUUCCAGCUGAGGGAGCUCGGAUUCGCCCGACUCAUAAUAGUUUAUUCGUCGGUUCUGGUUAUUUCUAUUUUGGUAAUUUCUAUUACCGAUGUUUCUAUUUUGAUUGCGCGAGCUAUUGCUAUUUGUGCGCUGUUGACUUUGUGCGUGUCUAUAUCCAUUGUUGUUAUUAUUUGCCCGAGAUGCGUGACUAAUUUCAGCAUAAUUAUUUUCUGUUCGGCUGGAGUAAUUUCAUCUAAAAGUAGGACUGAUGCUAUGAAUGAAUCUGUUUCAUCCACGUUCCCGUCGUAUGGUUUGUUACCUGCAGUUUCUUCUCGUUGAGAGUGUAUGGACGAUGUACACUUUUAUUGAAAUUUAGUAAAAUUUUUUCGAGUUCAGCUUUAUAUUGAAAUAGUGAUUCCAUUUAUGUGAGAAACGAGAGAAAAAACAAAACAAUUUUUGUUUACAUGUUUACGACUGCUAGAAUAUUUGUUCUUGAAUGUAAAAUUUUCAGGUAGUAAUAUUAUUCAUUUAUUUAUAUUCA
Hermetia illucens (black soldier fly) is the source of this 646-nucleotide long non-coding RNA. RefSeq lists it as uncharacterized. The record is from RefSeq and is a predicted model, not a curated record. Lineage: Eukaryota; Metazoa; Arthropoda; Insecta; Diptera; Stratiomyidae. The transcript is spliced from 2 exons.